CCCAGUUGCUCUGAAUGAUGGUGAGAAGG
This 29-nucleotide non-coding RNA is filed under the name Homo sapiens (human). Lineage: Eukaryota; Metazoa; Chordata; Mammalia; Primates; Hominidae. The record is from RNAcentral.